This 362-nucleotide ribosomal RNA is filed under the name Laceyella tengchongensis. Its description in RNAcentral is "bacterial SSU rRNA". It matches the Rfam family "Bacterial small subunit ribosomal RNA", at positions 1181 to 1533 of the family's 1533-position model. Lineage: Bacteria; Bacillati; Bacillota; Bacilli; Caryophanales; Thermoactinomycetaceae. The record is from RNAcentral.
GACGUCAAAUCAUCAUGCCCCUUAUGUCCUGGGCUACACACGUGCUACAAUGGCCGGUACAAUGGGUCGCCAACCCGCGAGGGGGAGCUAAUCCCACAAAACCGGUCUCAGUUCGGAUCGCAGGCUGCAACUCGCCUGCGUGAAGCCGGAAUCGCUAGUAAUCGCGGAUCAGCAUGCCGCGGUGAAUACGUUCCCGGGCCUUGUACACACCGCCCGUCACACCACGAGAGUUUGCAACACCCGAAGUCGGUGAGGUAACCUUUACGGAACCAGCCGCCGAAGGUGGGGCAGAUGAUUGGGGUGAAGUCGUAACAAGGUAUCCCUACCGGAAGGUGGGGAUGGAUCACCUCCUUUCUAAGGAG